CCUACGGGUGGCAGCAGUGGGGAAUAUUGGACAAUGGGGGGAACCCUGAUCCAGCCAUGCCGCGUGUGUGAAGAAGGCCCUCGGGUUGUAAAGCACUUUCAGUGAGGAAGAACGCCUGGUGGUUAAUACCCAUCAGGAAAGACAUCACUCACAGAAGAAGCACCGGCUAACUCCGUGCCAGCAGCCGCGGUAAUACGGAGGGUGCGAGCGUUAAUCGGAAUUACUGGGCGUAAAGCGCGCGUAGGUGGCUUGAUAAGCCGGUUGUGAAAGCCCCGGGCUCAACCUGGGAACGGCAUCCGGAACUGUCAAGCUAGAGUGCAGGAGAGGAAGGUAGAAUUCCCGGUGUAGCGGUGAAAUGCGUAGAGAUCGGGAGGAAUACCAGUGGCGAAGGCGGCCUUCUGGACUGACACUGACACUGAGGUGCGAAAGCGUGGGUAGCAAACAGGAUUAGCUACCCCAGUAGUC
This 465-nucleotide ribosomal RNA is filed under the name Vreelandella stevensii. RNAcentral describes it as "partial 16S ribosomal RNA". It matches the Rfam family "Bacterial small subunit ribosomal RNA", at positions 338 to 795 of the family's 1533-position model. The record is from RNAcentral. Lineage: Bacteria; Pseudomonadati; Pseudomonadota; Gammaproteobacteria; Oceanospirillales; Halomonadaceae.